UUCCAUAAAUGGGAAAAUUCAUUUAGCGACCUUUCCUUUCUGGAACAGCCUGCAGCGCCAACUCUCUCUCUCUCUCUCCCUCCUUCCUCAGUCUUCUCCUCUUUCCAAAAUUGCUCGGAAAAUUUCCAGUGCAGACCUAAACUUCAGAGGUAAAACCCCCCAACGAAGGUGAACAAAAGAACCAGAGGGGGUAGCAAGAAAUAGAGAAAAUGAAGAUCAAGAUAAAAAAGAUCGACUACUUGCCGGCAAGGCAGGUGACCUUCUCAAAGAGGAGAAGGGGGAUUUUCAAGAAAGCUGGAGAGCUGUCGAUUCUGUGUGAAUCUGAAGUUGCUGUUAUCAUCUUUUCUCAAACUGGCAAGCUCUUUGAUUUCUCAAGCUCCAGCACCAAGGAUGUGAUUGCAAGGUACAAUUCACAUAUCGGUGGGGAAAAAUCGGAUCAACCCACGAUUCAUCAGCUACAGUUGGAGAAAGAAAACAAUAUCAGGCUGAGGAAGGAACUUGAGGAUAAGAGUUGCAAGUUGAGGCAGAUGAAGGGUGUGGACCUUGAAGACUUGGAUCUGGAUGAACUACAGAAGUUAGAAAAAUUGGUGGAAGCAAGCCUUGGCCGUGUGAUUCAAACUAAGGGAGCUGAGCUGAUAGAAGCUAACAACCAGCUAAGCCACAGGAUGGUGAUGUAUCCCAGAGGAGAUAUCGGACCGGAGGCCAUCCUGGAGUUGGAAAACCUGAAUAAUAUUGGAGAAGAAAGCAUGACAUCUGAAUCAACCACAAAUGUCACCACCUGCUCCAACAGCUCUCUUUCCCUUGAAGAUGAUUGCUCCGACAUCUUGUCUCUCAAACUGGGCUUGAUUCAUAUCAGCAUGAUCAGGUCGAAUUUUAUAUACAUCACCAUUUAGGGAAGGUCUUAAUAAAUGUCGAAUCGAGCAUAGUCCAUCUCCUUUGUGGCGCGGCGGAAGCUUGUGUUCAAAUAUACUAAUGUCUUCCGUAGUUUCCCUGGUUAAAAAGUGGAGACAGAUGGGAAGUUGUACUUCCUUAACUACUAAAUAAAGUCGAGUUAUUGUAAGAUAUGACUGACUUGUGUGUUUUAACUCGAAAACAAAUUGGAAGGCAUUUCUGUGUGAGUGUGACGGUGUGUUAUAUGUAAAACUAUAUUUGUGUAUUCCAUGCAGCCAGACAUUGCUGUAUAUUAAGUUGUAUUGUAUCCAAAUCUGUGUGGUAAAUGCAGGCCUACUAAUUCAGACUAGUCCAGUUUUGGGUUGGGGAUGACAAGCUAAGUUAUGAAUCUUUCUAAUUAGGCUUAAAUAAUCAUUUGUCCCCUAGAACAAAACCCGAGCCUCAUUGUGUACCUGAAUGGUUGAUAUUUAACCUCCGAAACUUACAUUUGUGUUU
Molecule: RNA transcript, 1386 nt
Organism: Malus domestica (apple)
Lineage: Eukaryota; Viridiplantae; Streptophyta; Magnoliopsida; Rosales; Rosaceae
Gene name: MADS-box protein AGL24-like
Source: RefSeq, marked provisional